UAAUAGUAAUAACAGGACCAUUUUAAUCUGUGAACAAGUCUUUUAAUUAUCAAUAUCUCUUUUCAGUCAAUAGUUGCAGCCUCCGCCUCAUCCAACAUUCCCUUCAGAAGAACGAGGUGCCCAGGAGGAGAGCAGGUUAUCAGGCACAACUGAGGGAUGCAGAAAGGCCCAAGAGCACCCAGAAGAAGGGAAAGAAGACCCGCUCCCUCCUGUGGGUCCUUCCGCACAGUGAAAGGCCUUGGAGACGCUGCUGCUCUUCAGACACUUGGAGGUCAAGUUGGGCCCACUUCUGUGUUUCAAGCAUGGAUGCAUUGUGAGCAGGUACUGCUGGGAAGGAAUUGUGGCCAGGUUCUUCCUCUCCUGGAGGCCGUAGAAGAUAACUCAACAGACCAAGGUCAAGCCCUUCUGGCCUGGAUCCCCAGCUAGGAUGAGGAUUGUUCAGCUACUGGAUGUCCAAAGGAUUGGAUUCUCUCUGGGUUGUUCAACUGGGUUGGAGGGGAGGGUCUUGGGAGCCUGUCCCUGGUGCAUGUGUUACUAUAAUGAUUCUGGGGCUGGUUUUUCUUCCUUCCCACUUAGCUGGUUAGAUCCAAUAUGAACUGUUGCUUUCAAUCCCCAGAUCUACUUUUGUCUCAUAUUCCUCAUCUCAGAACUGUCACUACCAUCUACCCAAGUAUUUAAACCAGAAAGUUGGGGGCGCUUGGGUGGCUCAGUUGGUUGAGUAUCUGACUCUGGAUUUUGGCUCAGGUCAUGGUCUCACAGUUUGUGGGACGGAGCCCUGCAUCAGGCUCUGCACUGACAGUGCGGAGUCUGCUUGGGAUUCUGUCUCUCUUUUUCUGCCCCUCCCCUGCCUGUGCUCUCUCUCUCACUCACUCACUCAAUAAAUAAACAAACCAGAAAGCUGG
This 902-nucleotide long non-coding RNA is filed under the name Suricata suricatta (meerkat). RNAcentral's name for it is "lncRNA (ENSSSUG00005020365.1)". The record is from RNAcentral. Lineage: Eukaryota; Metazoa; Chordata; Mammalia; Carnivora; Herpestidae.